CUCCGCCCCUCCCCCCCCCAGCGCUGCUGCUGCCGCCGUCUAUGCCCUGCACCAGAGCCUGACCCACGGAUAUGGGGUGGCACAUGUGGGGCAGGUGAUGCUGCUGCACCAGAGCCACGGGGGGGGGCAGGGGGGGGGCGGAGUCACCCCCGGACCCUUCCCAUACAUCAGCCACCAUCAAGUCCAGUCCCAGCAGCUCCAGUUCCACCCCCCGGGCAACUGAGGCCGCCCCCCAAGUGGCUUCUCCUGCCCCCCAAGUGUGGGGCUGGAGGCUGGGGGGGGAUCUAUGGGGCAGAGCUGGGGCCGCCCCUCCCCCCUCCCCCUUUGAAGGGGCUUUUCUAUUAUUUAUAGUGGGGGGAGGGG
Molecule: long non-coding RNA, 363 nt
Organism: Melopsittacus undulatus (budgerigar)
Lineage: Eukaryota; Metazoa; Chordata; Aves; Psittaciformes; Psittaculidae
Exons: 3
Source: RefSeq, a predicted model, not a curated record